AUUAGAUAAAAAACCAAUGCCCUUCGGGGCUUUCUGGUGAUUCAUAAUAACUAAACGAAUCGCAUGGCCUUGAGCCGGCGAUGGUUCAUUCAAAUUUCUACCCUAUCAACUUUCGAUUGUAGGAUAGAGGCCUACAAUGGUUUCAACGGGUAACGGAGAAUUAGGGUUCGGUUCCGGAGAGGGAGCCUGAGAAACGGCUACCACAUCCAAGGAAGGCAGCAGGCGCGCAAAUUACCCAAUCCCGACACGGGGAGGUAGUGACAAUAAAUACUGAUACAGGGCUCUUUUGGGUCUUGUAAUUGGAAUGAGUACAAUUUAAAUCCCUUAACGAGGAACAAUUGGAGGGCAAGUCUGGUGCCAGCAGCCGCGGUAAUUCCAGCUCCAAUAGCGUAUAUUAAAGUUGUUGCAGUUAAAAAGCUCGUAGUUGAACUUGGGUUUGGCUGGCCGGUCCGCCUCACCGCGUGCACUGGUCCGCCCGGACUUUCCUCUUGGGGAUCCGCAUGCCCUUUAAUGG
RNAcentral lists this ribosomal RNA (514 nucleotides) under uncultured fungus. Its description in RNAcentral is "SSU rRNA". It matches the Rfam family "Eukaryotic small subunit ribosomal RNA", at positions 209 to 723 of the family's 1831-position model. The record is from RNAcentral. Lineage: Eukaryota; Fungi.